This 440-nucleotide ribosomal RNA is filed under the name uncultured bacterium. Its description in RNAcentral is "partial 16S ribosomal RNA". It matches the Rfam family "Bacterial small subunit ribosomal RNA", at positions 338 to 795 of the family's 1533-position model. The record is from RNAcentral.
CCUACGGGAGACAGCAGUGGGGAAUAUUGCACAAUGGGGGAAACCCUGAUGCAGCGACGCCGCGUGAGUGAAGAAGUAAUUCGUUACGUACAGCUCUAUCAGCAGGGAAGAAAAUGACGGUACCUGAGUAAGAAGCCCCGACUAACUACGUGCCAGCAGCCGCGGUAAUACGUGGGGGGCAAGCGUUAUCCGGAUUUACUGGGUGUAAAGGGGGCGUAGACGGGGCGCCAAGUCUGGCGUGAAAUGCCGCAGCUGAACUGCGGAACUGCUUUGGAAACUGGCGAACUAGAGUGCGGGAGGGGUAAGCGGAAUGCCUAGUGUAGCGGGGAAAUGCGUAGAGAUUAGGAGGAACACCGGUGGCGAAGGCGGCUUACUGGACCGUAACUGACGUUGAGGCUCGAAAGCGUGGGGAGCAAACAGGAUUAGAUACCCGAGGAGUC